CGCGCAGGCGGUCCUUCAAGUCAGAGGUGAAAGCCCAGGGCUCAACCCUGGAACUGCCUUUGAAACUGGAGGACUUGAGUACGGGAGAGGUGAGUGGAAUUCCGAGUGUAGAGGUGAAAUUCGUAGAUAUUCGGAAGAACACCAGUGGCGAAGGCGGCUCACUGGCCCGUUACUGACGCUCAGGCGCGACAGCGUGGGGAGCAAACAGGAUUAGAUACCCUGGUAGUCCACGCCGUAAACGAUGGAUGCUAGCCGUUGGUAAGCAUGCUUAUCAGUGGCGCAGCUAACGCAUUAAGCAUCCCGCCUGGGGAGUACGGCCGCAAGGUUGAA
Molecule: ribosomal RNA, 330 nt
Filed under: uncultured bacterium
Lineage: Bacteria
Description: bacterial SSU rRNA
Rfam family: Bacterial small subunit ribosomal RNA
Source: RNAcentral